GAAGUGCCCCUCCCUUAUUUAGAGAAAAUCUCAGAGUGGAUUAUAUGCAUCAGUUAGGAGCUCAGGCUAAGGCAAACCCAGUUCACCAUUCAAGACAUUUUCUACUCUUGAAAACUUUAAAGGACAUUAUAAAAAGCAAAAACUUGAGAUCCAUCCCUGCCUCAAAUCAAGCCAGGAAAAAAGGAUUCUUCAGGAUACGGUGGUGGGAACAAGGAAGCAAGACUGACUAUGUUUGAAAGCGUUCAGCAAGCAGAGGGGAAAAGCAGAGGGGCACAGCCCUCAGGGAGUGGAUUAAAGUCACAUUCUUAGAAAAAAAGAGCUGGAAGUUAAGAUGAGGACUACAAAGACAGCAGGAAGAGGAAGUCUUCAAAACUGAGUCGAGACAAUUAUAUUCUUUGAACAAAGGAAACAUCGGCUCCUGUCACUGAAGAAAAAUCAAAGCAAAUCCACAAAUAAAUAGGAACAAGAGACACUUGUUCAGGGAUGUCAACAGGAAAAUGAAAAAUUGUAUAAUCAAGUGAAAGAUCUCCAAGAACAAAACAAAAAUGAGGAGUGAAUGUUCAAGGAAAACCAGAGCUUAUUCAGCAAAUUAGUUUCCUUAAAGAAUAUCAAGAAAGAGAAAACCGGUUUAUUGGAAGACCUGAAAAGACUGAAGCAAGACAAGCAAGCUCUUGACGCAGACUUGGGAAAAGUGAAGAGAGAGAGACCAAGCCAGAGAGCAGCAGCAAUAACUGCAAGAUUGAAGAAACUCAAAGAUUAUUUUGAAUUCAUGGCAUUGUGUGCGCAGCAGUUUGCAGUCCUCCCAGCCAGACCUGGAUCUUCCAGGGCCUGGUCACCCUUUUUAUCCCUGGGCCUGAAAUGUAACCUCUCAAGUGUUUGACAAAUGAACAGACAACACCGUGCUAUGUUUGUAGAAGACACGAGGGUGAAUAUGGCAUUCCUCACUGGGAAAAACAAAGGAGGGGUAAGCUAAAAAUGCAGAAAAGUUUAAUACUAAAAAAAUUAGAAAUAAACAAGAAGGUGCUAGUAAGGGUUUCAGGGAGAAGAAGCAUUUGAGCUGGGUCCUGGCAGGUGGAGGGCCUCGGGAGGGGAGGAGGGAGGCCGCGCAGCUGUGUCUCAUGGGCGUGUCACUGAGCGCACCUGUCCUGGGCCAGAGGAGGGCAGGGCACAGGGCCGGAAAGGUCGAUCGAAGGAGCCCUUGUUUGCCAAAGGAAGGGUCUUUUCUCUGUGAUUGUAUGAUCUUCAGUGUAAGACACAUACAAGUAAAAUCCACUAACCUGUUUGUAAGAAAUGUACUUCCCUCAUCUAUAAAGUAGAAUAAUAAU
Molecule: long non-coding RNA, 1325 nt
Organism: Camelus dromedarius (Arabian camel)
Lineage: Eukaryota; Metazoa; Chordata; Mammalia; Artiodactyla; Camelidae
Exons: 6
Source: RefSeq, a predicted model, not a curated record